UUUUACGGGCAGACGGUGGAUGCCUAGGCGCAGAGUGCCGAUGAAGGACGGUGCAGGCCACGAUAGGCCCUGGGUAGGCGCCAGCAGCCGAUGAUCCAGGGAUUUCCGAAUGGGGGAACCCGCGUGCGGUCAUGCGCACGCAUCCCGUAUGGGAGGGGCACCGGGGGAACUGAAACAUCUAAGUACCCCGAGGAGAAGAGAUCACCGAGAGACCGGUAGUAGUGGCGAGCGAACGCGGUCAAGUCCAAACCGAGCGACGCUUAGUGGGUUCGCGCCCUAUGCCCGCUUGGGGUUGUGCGGCUUGUUGGGGGGAUCCCGCGAAGGUUCCCGCCUGGUUGGUGUACGUUGACGAGAACAGUCUGGAAAGGCUGGCCGAAGAGGGUGAAAGCCCCGUACUGGUAGUCGUACACACGGGUACAACAGGUUCGCGAGUACCACGGGGGAAGAGUAGCCCCGUGGGAAGCUGGGGCGACCACGCUCCAAGGCUAAGGUACGCUCUGCGACCGAUAGGGAACGAGUACCGUGAGGGAAAGGUGAAAAGCACCCCGGCGAGGGGAGUGAAAUAGUUCCUGAAACCGUCUGCCUACAGUCGGUACGAGGGCGGUGCCCGUAAGGGCUGCCUGAGUGCGUGCCUCCUGAAGAAUGAGCCGGCGAGUGGAUCGGCGUCGCCAAAGGCUAAGGACGGUGGACGUCUGGAGCCGUAGCGAAAGCGAGUGCGAAUAGCGCGACUAGGUGGCGUCGAUCCGACCCGAAACCGGGUGAGCUACCCAUGGGCAGUGUGAAGGUUCGGUAACACGAACUGGAGGCGCGGACCCACCAAUGUUGCAAAAUUGGGGGAUGACCUGUGGGUAGAGGAGAAAUUCCAAUCGAACCCGGAGAUAGCUGGUUCUCCCCGAAAUGGAUUUAGGUUCAGCCCGAUGAGUUGACACCCGUAGGAGGUAGGGAUGCUGGAUGUGUGCGGGCCCUUGGCGGGUACCAAAUGCAACCAAACCGCGAAUGCCUACGGGUGCGAGUCGGAGUGAGACGGUGGGUGCGAAGAUUCAUCGUCGAGAGGGAAACAGCCCAGACCGCCAGCUAAGGGCCCCAAGUGCAGGCUUUAGUGGUAAAGGAGGUCGGUGUGCAUAGACAACCAGGAGGUUGGCUUAGAAGCAGCCACCCUUUAAAGAGUGCGUAACAGCUCACUGGUCGAGUGCACCGGCGCCGACAAUGUAACGGGGCUAAGCCUGCCCCCGACGCUGCGGGUGUAGUCAUUUGAUUACGCGGUAGGGGAGCGUUCCACGGGCGUUGAAGGUAGAUCGUGAGGACUGCUGGAGCGCGUGGAAGUGCGAAUGCCGGCAUGAGUAGCGUAUUGACCGUGCGAACCGGUCACACCGGAAGCCUAAGGGUUCCUGAGGACGGUCCAUCCACUCAGGGUUAGCCGGGCCUAAGCCAAGCCUAGUAGUAAGCUAGGGUAGGCGAUGGACAACGGGUUGAUAUUCCCGUGCCACCAUUAGAUCGUUUGACCGAUGCGGGGACCCGGUAGGUAGUUGCCCGCGAAUCGUUGGCUUGUUCGUGUAAGCCUGUGACGCGCUGGGGAGCGAAGUUCUUCCUGGCUAAGGGUGAGACCCUGAGCGUGAGAGGGGAUGCCGAGAGUGCGGCUUCGGCCAAUCUCAAGGGGUAACGGGCCACGCCGGCAAGAAAAGCCGCUAGGGAGAUCUUUUGGUGCCCGUACCGCAAACCGACGCAGGUAGGCUGGGAUGAAGGUCCCGAGGUGAACGGGAGACCCUCAGCGAAGGAACUCGGCAAAUUGGCCCCGUACCUUCGGAAGAAGGGGCGCCACUUGGUGUGUAGGCCCUCGCGGCUCGAAGCACCUGGGUGGUCGCAGGGAACUGGCUCAACCGACUGUUUACCAAAAACACAGGUCUCCGCGAAGUCGUAAGACACCGUAUGGGGGCUGACGCCUGCCCGGUGCCAGACGGUUAAGAGGAGGGGUUCACGCUCUGAAUCGAAGCCCUGGUGAACGGCGGCGAUAACUAUAAUCGUCCUAAGGUAGCGAAAUUCCUUGUCGGGUAAGUUCCGACCCGCACGAAUGGCGUAACGAGUUGAGCGCUGUCUCCGCUGAGGACCCGGCGAAAUUGCAGUGCCCGUGCAGAUUCGGGCGUCCUGUGGCAGGACAAAAAGACCCCGUGGAGCUUUACUCCACCUUGCCAUUGCGCCGCGACCGUGCAUACGUAGGAUAGGUGGGAGGCUUUGAAGGAGCGCUUUUGGGCACUCUGGAGCCGACGGUGAAAUACCACUUUUGCGUGGCUGUGGCGCUCACGCGUUGAGCUAUAUCGCUAACGCGGACCCUGGCAGGCGGGGAGUUUGACUGGGGCGGUCGCCUCCCAAACAGUAACGGAGGCGCCCAAUGGUCUUCUCAGCGCGGAUGGUAACCGCGCUCCCUAGAGUGUACGGGCAGAAGAAGGCUUGACUGUGAGGCGGACGUGCCGAGCAGGUGCGAAAGCAGGGCCGAGUGACCCUACGUCCCCUAGUGGACGGGACGUGGAUUAACGGAUAAAAGCUACCCCGGGGAUAACAGGCUUAUCCUGCCCAAGAGUUCACAUCGACGGCAGGGUUUGGCACCUCGAUGUCGGCUCGUCGCAUCCUGGGGCUGUAGUCGGUCCCAAGGGUUGGGCUGUUCGCCCAUUAAAGCGGUACGCGAGCUGGGUUCAGAACGUCGUGAGACAGUUCGGUCUCUAUCCGCCACAGGCGUUGGAUACUUGACCGGAGCGGUCCCCAGUACGAGAGGACCGGGACGGACCAACCGCUAGUGCGCCAGUUGUCUCGCCCGAGGCAUCGCUGGGUAGCUACGUUGGGAAGCGAUAAGCGCUGACAGCAUCUAAGCGCGAAGCGCACCGGAAGAUGAGGUAUCCCUGCAGAGGUGGGUAACUGCUUCUGUGAGAGUCCCCCUGGAGAUCACAGGGUUGCUGGCCGGCAGGUGUAAGCACAGUAAUGUGUUCAGCCAAGCCGGACUAAUGGACGAUGGGCUU
RNAcentral lists this ribosomal RNA (3008 nucleotides) under Chloroflexota bacterium. Its description in RNAcentral is "bacterial LSU rRNA". It matches the Rfam family "Bacterial large subunit ribosomal RNA". Lineage: Bacteria; Bacillati; Chloroflexota. The record is from RNAcentral.